Molecule: ribosomal RNA, 253 nt
Filed under: uncultured bacterium
Lineage: Bacteria
Description: partial 16S ribosomal RNA
Rfam family: Bacterial small subunit ribosomal RNA
Source: RNAcentral
GACGAACCGUGCGAACGUUGUUCGGAUUCACUGGGCUUAAAGGGCGCGUAGGCGGGCGGUCAAGUCGGGGGUGAAAUCUUUCAGCUUAACUGGAAAAGUGCCUCCGAUACUGAUCGUCUUGAGGGAGGUAGGGGCAUGUGGAACUUCCGGUGGAGCGGUGAAAUGCGUAGAUAUCGGAAGGAACGCCGGUGGCGAAAGCGACGUGCUGGACCUCUUCUGACGCUGAGGCGCGAAAGCUAGGGGAGCAAACAGG